Molecule: ribosomal RNA, 482 nt
Filed under: Copelatus sp. 006VI519
Lineage: Eukaryota; Metazoa; Arthropoda; Insecta; Coleoptera; Dytiscidae
Description: partial 16S ribosomal RNA
Rfam family: Bacterial large subunit ribosomal RNA (bases 360-482)
Source: RNAcentral
ACCUGCCCACNGAUUAAUUNAAUGGCCGCAGUAAUUUGACUGUGCAAAGGUAGCAUAAUCAUUAGUUUUUUAAUUGAAAGCUUGUAUGAAUGGUUGGACGANAUAAAAUCUGUCUCUAUUUAAAUUAUUUUAGAAUUUUAUUUUUAAGUUAAAAAGCUUAAAUGUAUAUAAAAGACGAGAAGACCCUAUAGAUCUUUAUAUUUUUUUAUAUAAUUUUAUUNAAGAAUUUUUUANUUUUUAUAUAUAUAAAUAUUUUAUUGGGGUAAUAAAAAGAUUUAUUAAAUUCUUUUUUUUAUUUNAUAUAGAUUAAUAGAUAUUUGAUCCAAUAUAUUUUGAUUAUAAGANUAAGUUACCUUAGGGAUAACAGCGUAAUUUUUUUUGAGAGUUCAUAUCGAUAAAAAAGUUUGCGACCUCGAUGUUGGAUUAAAAAUUAUUUUAGGUGUAGAAGUCUAAAAAUUUGGUCUGUUCGACCAUUAAAUUUU